GAUUUCUGGUACGGCGCACUUGGCCCGCUUCGGUUACGAGGUCGAGUGCCGGUGUGCGCCUGCCAUCCUUCUAGAGUACGUCUCUCCCUUCAGUGGGUUGGGCCGGAAUCUAGAUCAUUUACUUUGAAAAAAUUAGAGUGUUUAAAGCAGGCUUACGCUAUGAAUACAUUAGCAUGGAAUAAUAAUUUAGGACUUUGGUCUUAUUUUGUUGGUUUCUAGGACUAAAGUAAUGAUUGAUAGGGACAGUUGGGGGUGCUAGUAUUCAGCGGCCAGAGGUGAAAUUCUUGGAUUCGCUGAAGACUAACUUAUGCGAAAGCAUU
RNAcentral lists this ribosomal RNA (320 nucleotides) under Cercomonas sp. RNAcentral's name for it is "SSU rRNA". The stretch from base 103 to 320 matches the Rfam family "Eukaryotic small subunit ribosomal RNA", at positions 736 to 955 of the family's 1831-position model. RNAcentral also lists the same sequence under 1 other name. The record is from RNAcentral. Lineage: Eukaryota; Cercozoa; Cercomonadida; Cercomonadidae.